AUACGGAGGGUGCGAGCGUUAAUCGGAAUUACUGGGCGUAAAGCGUACGUAGGCGGUUGGUUAAGUUAGAUGUGAAAGCCCCGGGCUUAACCUGGGAACUGCAUUUAAAACUGGCGAACUAGAGUUGAGUAGAGGGGAGUGGAAUUUCAGGUGUAGCGGUGAAAUGCGUAGAGAUCUGAAGGAACACCAGUGGCGAAGGCGACUCCCUGGACUAAAACUGACGCUGAGGUACGAAAGCGUGGGUAGCAAACAGGAUUAGAAACCCUAGUAGUCC
This 274-nucleotide ribosomal RNA is filed under the name uncultured bacterium. Its description in RNAcentral is "partial 16S ribosomal RNA". It matches the Rfam family "Bacterial small subunit ribosomal RNA", at positions 523 to 796 of the family's 1533-position model. The record is from RNAcentral.